UAAUGUCUGGGAAACUGCCCGAUGGAGGGGGAUAACUACUGGAAACGGUAGCUAAUACCGCAUAACGUCGCAAGACCAAAGAGGGGGACCUUCGGGCCUCUUGCCAUCGGAUGUGCCCAGAUGGGAUUAGCUAGUAGGUGGGGUAACGGCUCACCUAGGCGACGAUCCCUAGCUGGUCUGAGAGGAUGACCAGCCACACUGGAACUGAGACACGGUCCAGACUCCUACGGGAGGCAGCAGUGGGGAAUAUUGCACAAUGGGCGCAAGCCUGAUGCAGCCAUGCCGCGUGUAUGAAGAAGGCCUUCGGGUUGUAAAGUACUUUCAGCGAGGAGGAAGGUGUUGUGGUUAAUAACCGCAGCAAUUGACGUUACUCGCAGAAGAAGCACCGGCUAACUCCGUGCCAGCAGCCGCGGUAAUACGGAGGGUGCAAGCGUUAAUCGGAAUUACUGGGCGUAAAGCGCACGCAGGCGGUCUGUCAAGUCGGAUGUGAAAUCCCCGGGCUCAACCUGGGAACUGCAUCCGAAACUGGCAGGCUAGAGUCUUGUAGAGGGGGGUAGAAUUCCAGGUGUAGCGGUGAAAUGCGUAGAGAUCUGGAGGAAUACCGGUGGCGAAGGCGGCCCCCUGGACAAAGACUGACGCUCAGGUGCGAAAGCGUGGGGAGCAAACAGGAUUAGAUACCCUGGUAGUCCACGCCGUAAACGAUGUCGACUUGGAGGUUGUGCCCUUGAGGCGUGGCUUCCGGAGCUAACGCGUUAAGUCGACCGCCUGGGGAGUACGGCCGCAAGGUUAAAACUCAAAUGAAUUGACGGGGGCCCGCACAAGCGGUGGAGCAUGUGGUUUAAUUCGAUGCAACGCGAAGAACCUUACCUACUCUUGACAUCCAGGGAACUUAGCAGAGAUGCUUUGGUGCCUUCGGGAACUGUGAGACAGGUGCUGCAUGGCUGUCGUCAGCUCGUGUUGUGAAAUGUUGGGUUAAGUCCCGCAACGAGCGCAACCCUUAUCCUUUGUUGCCAGCGGUCCGGCCGGGAACUCAAAGGAGACUGCCAGUGAUAAACUGGAGGAAGGUGGGGAUGCCGUCAAGUCAUCAUGGCCCUUACGAGUAGGGCUACACACGUGCUACAAUGGCAUAUACAAAGAGAAGCGACCUCGCGAGAGCAAGCGGACCUCAUAAAGUAUGUCGUAGUCCGGAUUGGAGUCUGCAACUCGACUCCAUGAAGUCGGAAUCGCUAGUAAUCGUGGAUCAGAAUGCCACGGUGAAUACGUUCCCGGGCCUUGUACACACCGCCCUCACACCAUGGGAUGUGGGUUGCAAAAGAAGUAGG
This 1322-nucleotide ribosomal RNA is filed under the name Citrobacter sp. UIWRF0875. RNAcentral describes it as "bacterial SSU rRNA". It matches the Rfam family "Bacterial small subunit ribosomal RNA", at positions 111 to 1430 of the family's 1533-position model. The record is from RNAcentral. Lineage: Bacteria; Pseudomonadati; Pseudomonadota; Gammaproteobacteria; Enterobacterales; Enterobacteriaceae.